UUGUGCCAAGCAGCCGCGGUAAUUCCAGCUCCAAUAGCGUAUAUUAAAGUUGUUGCGGUAAAAAAGCUCGUAGUUGGAUUUCUGUUGAGGACGACCGGUCCACACAAUGUGUUGGCAUCAGGUUCGGCCUCGGCAUCUUCUCGAUAGACGUUUCUGCGCUUGAUUGCGUGGGGCGGAUUUCGGGACUUUUACUUUGAGGAAAUUAGAGUGUUCACGGCAGGCUUUCGCCAGAAUACGUUAGCAUGGAAUAAUACUAUAGGGCCUUGGUUCUAUUUUGUUGGUUUCUAGAACUGAGGUAAUGAUUAAUAGGGACAAUUGGGGGCAUUCGUAUCAACACGUCAGAGGUGGAAUUCUUGGAUUGUGUUGCGACGAACUACUGCGAAAGCAUUUGCCAAGGAUGUUUUCAUUGAUCAAGAACGAAAGUAAGGGGAUCGAAGACGAUUAGAUACCGUCGUAGUCUUUACCAUAAACUAUGCCAACUAGAGAUGGGGCAUCGUUCAUUUACGACUUGCUCCGCACCUUAUGAGAUAUCAAAGUCUUUGGGUUCCGGGGGGAGUAUGGUCGCAAGUCUGAAACUUAAAGGAAUUGACGGAAGGGCACCACCAGGAGUGGAGCCUGCGGCUUAAUUUGACUCAACACGGGGAAACUCACCAGGUCCAGACAUAAUAAGGAUUGACAGAUUGAUAGCUCUUUCUUGAUUUUAUGGGUGGUGGUGCAUGGCCGUUCUUAGUUCGUGGAGUGAUUUGUCUGCUUAAUUGCGUUAACGAACGAGACCUUAACCUGCUAAAUAGGAGCGUCUAUCUUCGGAUAAACGCCUUUCUUCUUAGAGGGACUUUGUGCGUUUCAGCAUGAGGAAGUUUGAGGCUAAAACAGGUCUGUGAUGC
Molecule: ribosomal RNA, 884 nt
Filed under: uncultured eukaryote
Lineage: Eukaryota
Description: SSU rRNA
Rfam family: Eukaryotic small subunit ribosomal RNA
Source: RNAcentral